GACAGAGGGUGCAAACGUUGUUCGGAAUUACUGGGCGUAAAGCGUGCGCAGGCGGUUCGUUAAGUUCGAUGUGAAAGCCCCGGGCUCAACCUGGGAACUGCAUUGGAAACUGGCGAGCUUGAAUGCGGCAGAGGGGGGUGGAAUUCCGCGUGUAGCAGUGAAAUGCGUAGAGAUGCGGAGGAACACCGAUGGCGAAGGCAGCCCCCUGGGCCGACAUUGACGCUCAGGCACGAAAGCGUGGGGAGCAAACAGG
RNAcentral lists this ribosomal RNA (253 nucleotides) under uncultured bacterium. RNAcentral's name for it is "partial 16S ribosomal RNA". It matches the Rfam family "Bacterial small subunit ribosomal RNA", at positions 524 to 776 of the family's 1533-position model. The record is from RNAcentral.